UGAGGAAUAUUGGUCAAUGGACGGAAGUCUGAACCAGCCAAGUAGCGUGCAGGAUGACGGCCCUAUGGGUUGUAAACUGCUUUUGUAUGGGGAUAAAGUUAGGGACGUGUCCCUAUUUGCAGGUACCAUACGAAUAAGGACCGGCUAAUUCCGUGCCAGCAGCCGCGGUAAUACGGAAGGUCCAGGCGUUAUCCGGAUUUAUUGGGUUUAAAGGGAGCGUAGGCUGGAGGUUAAGUGUGUUGUGAAAUGUAGACGCUCAACGUCUGACUUGCAGCGCAUACUGGUUUCCUUGAGUACGCACAACGUUGGCGGAAUUCGUCGUGUAGCGGUGAAAUGCUUAGAUAUGACGAAGAACUCCGAUUGCGAAGGCAGCUGACGGGAGCGCAACUGACGCUUAAGCUCGAAGGUGCGGGUAUCAAACAGGAUUAGAUACCCUGGUAGUCCGCACAGUAAACGAUGGAUGCCCGCUGUUGGUACCUGGUAUCAGCGGCUAAGCGAAAGCAUUAAGCAUCCCACCUGGGGAGUACGCCGGCAACGGUG
This 540-nucleotide ribosomal RNA is filed under the name uncultured bacterium. Its description in RNAcentral is "bacterial SSU rRNA". It matches the Rfam family "Bacterial small subunit ribosomal RNA", at positions 355 to 896 of the family's 1533-position model. The record is from RNAcentral.